ACCUCCCUCGCCCUUGCCUCGACCCGUAAAUAGCUCGCGCAGGACCUCAGACGAGUCAGUGCAAUCUGGGAAACCUAAGCAUCACAAUGAGGCAAAUCAUCUUCGUUCUCUUCGUCUUGGCCUUAAUUGUGCUGAUGGCGGAAUCGCGACUUUUCAGUCCCGAGGAAGUCUUGACAAGGCUACGCAGAGGGUGCCAGUGCACGAGGCGUCCCUGCCCUUGCGAUAUCGCUGACCCGUACCCGUUCACGGUGACUCGCCUGGCCUGAAGUCAUGACGUCAGCAGGGACACGAAUCGAGCCAGCGGAUCAGUAGGUUUUCACCACGACUGAAGCAGGAGCGUGAGGACAAACAACAACAA
Molecule: long non-coding RNA, 358 nt
Organism: Penaeus vannamei (Pacific white shrimp)
Lineage: Eukaryota; Metazoa; Arthropoda; Malacostraca; Decapoda; Penaeidae
Source: RefSeq, a predicted model, not a curated record